Molecule: long non-coding RNA, 19529 nt
Organism: Pangasianodon hypophthalmus (striped catfish)
Lineage: Eukaryota; Metazoa; Chordata; Actinopteri; Siluriformes; Pangasiidae
Exons: 4
Source: RefSeq, a predicted model, not a curated record
CUGAGGGUGUAUGUUGGCUGAAGCAGCACGGAUGAGACUGGAUUGAGCUGGAUUCAUCUGGAGAAGUCUGAACAUAACCAGUCUGAAUCAGGUACAUUUUGUAUAGUUUUCUUCUACAACCAAUUAGAUGCUUCUUUGGGGAUGUUUCUUGGAUUAGGCGGAAGUUAUUCAAAGCCACCCCGGGGCCCCUCAAAUCACCAAGUCACGAGGGUGGUCCCUUUAAAGCGCUGCUGAGGGCGGCCGCGCGCGCCGUCACAUGACGAGCAUGACAUAACGAAGCAGCAAACCGGAGAAGCUGAAGCGCGCCCAUGGCUACCGCGUAACCACGCGCACGAGCUCGUCCAGACGUCCGGUGUCUCUCAGUGGAGUUGGAGCUUCUCACUGGUUACUUUGAGCAUUGCAGCUGCUGCGGUACACACCGGGCGUGAUGGUGGACUGCACCUGCCGCACCACAAGACUUUCUUUUUUGCUUUUUUUUUUUUUUUUUAAAUGAAGGUGUUUCUACAGGGCACGCGAGGACUCUGAGUGAGCUGCUGGAAGGUUGUGGGGCACCUGGAGCCUAUCCCAGGGGACUCGGGGGACACAAGGGACACGAGGCGGGGGACAUCCUGGACAAGGUGCCAACCGAUCGCUAGGGCACAAUCACACACAUUCACACACUGCGUACAAUUUGGAAAUGCCAGUCAGCCUACAAUGCAUGCAUGUCUUUGGACUGGAGGGAGGAAACCCCUGAAGCAUGAGGAGAACAUGCAAACUCCUCACACAGGCAGGAUUCGAACCUCAACCCCAGAGGUGUGAGGCAAACAUCCUACUAAGCCACCCUGCCCCCCUAUAUGUUAUAUAUGUGGUGUUUGUGUGUGUGUGUGUGUGUGUGUAUAUAUAUAUAUAUAUAUAUGAGAGAGAGAGAGAGAGAGAGAGACUAGUAAUAGACUACAUUUUAUUUACAUGGUGGUUUGAAGGUUAAUUAUCAUAUCUUGGCUUUUAUCAUAUCUAUCUUAUCUAAACACUACACAGUGACUGACUAAUAGAUCUCAUAGAUUUGUCCAUAGGAAGAAAGAAAUAACAAAAACUACUAGCACAAACACAGCACAAGGGUUGGCCGUUCCCAAACUUUGGAUCCGUUCUUCCUUAUGAGUCGAUUCGCUCGAUUCACUUAAAAGAGUCUUUUCUCUAGAACCGAUUCGUGGUUCUUUCGCUCAUCACUACGAGGGCAGCGUAUAGAGUAAGAAGCCAGUCCCCGCUCAUAUACACGGUAGUUUUUCGUUGAUGGCGGUGUUUGUAACCCUGCGCGGUUUAUUUUAGGUGUAAAAGAUGCGAAGGUUAGAGCAGAGAGCGUACAGAAAGGGGCGGACUUUGGUAAGUUGCGCUGUUUUGUUGGUUUUUUCUCUUCAGCACCGGCGUCAUCAGUGCUGAAGGUAAAGCGGAACCGAGACGCGCUGUGCUCGAGAAGGAUUACGAACUGCGCACGAGACGGACGCAAGCCUGGCCGCUGAUCCCUGCGUAAGAUAUUCACGUCUUUCUUUACGAUAUUACACUGCUGUUUAUUUCACUGCAGGCACGUUUAUACCCUGAUCAUCCACACAGCACGAAAUGCAGGUCUUACGACGUGUUAUUUUGUUGUUGUUCCUGAUCAUGAUGAUCAUGAUGAUAGAUGAUGAUGAUAAUGUUUAUGAAUAUGUCUGUUGAAAAUGCAUUUUCGAGACUUCCUCAUUGUGAAACAGCUAUUAUUAUCAUGUCUAUAAAAAAGUUCCCAUGAGUGCAGUUUAUUGGUAUCUGUUCAGGCAUGUAUUUGAAGUGCUUCGUAAAACUUGUCAGAGGUGUGUGUGUGUGUGUCAGUUUUGUAACUAUCACCUGACUACAUGGCCUUGAUAUUUGCCCAUCUAUAAAUAUUCUCAGUAUUAAAAUAAUGAUAUGAAUUAUGUGUCGGAGGCAAUGUGAAAAAUGGACUUGCACAGACUUUCAUUUUAUGAGUUCAUAAUAUUAAAGGCGUGACGUCACGCCACCGCCUUCCUACACCUGACGACUGGGUAAAGAGCGCGCGCGGCUGUCGGUGGAGGCGAGCACGCGCGCAACACGUCGGUCGGGUGCGGCGCGCGCCGGCCACAGAGAGAGAGAGAGAGAGAGAGAGAGAGUAAACAGCACAGGGGUGCGUUUAAAUCUGUAUACCAUACUACACAGUGCUCUAUAGCAAACUAGUUCCCCUCAGCUGGGAUUGGCUCUGUUGUUGAGCUCUAAAAGCAAAAUUGCAUGUUAGUGUGUUAAAUUUGUUCAUUUAGGUGCAUCUUUAGAGUCAAUAUGUCAAAAGGGGUACAUUAAGGGAGUGCACCUUUGGUUUAGCAGAGGAUAGGACACAAAUGUUGCAGGUUGCACAAGAGCAUUGCAACUAGUGAGUCUGCUUAGUUACUGCAAGAAAAACAAUAUCAGAUCAAUAUCAGGUGUCGGUGAUACACAGAGCUCGGAUAUCUGAUCCUGCUGAAAUUGGUGCUUCCCUGUCAGUCUGUUAGUUUAAAGACUUUACUGUAUCUUUUAUCUUUUCCCCAGAAAAACUAACAUAGGUGUUGUGAUAUAAUUUUGGUGCCAAAGCUGACAUACAAGUACUGCUGUAAAUCUGGCCAUGCAGUUGUAGUAACUGGUUAAAUGAAUCUGUUAUGACAGAAAAAGAUCUAACAGAACCUUUUUUUAGACACAUUUCCUAGAUAUCAGUGUUAGUAACUCUAUAAAAACAGCAUAGUAAUUGAAACAAUAUUGUUCCUGCAUUGUUCUUCAUGGAUAUGAAUGAAGCUGGCUAUGAAUGAGUUUAUUCGUAAAUUGUUUGCAGGAGAACUUACACAGGAAAUUUGUUAGUCAUGAGAGUAUCUCAGUAAUAUUGCUGCCAAUUUGAUUUGCAUGACUGGUUUUGGUUUAGUCUGUGCUGGUUUAGAGAAAACGUUAAAAAAAAAAAAAAACAGACUAACCAGUAAUGGGGCAUGAAAUAAAACAGACAAAACAAUGUACUGGCUGGUCAAUAAAAUUGUCUGAAAUUAAAGUUCUAUGAGAUUAUUGUUAUCUGUGUAAAGUGCGGCGUGAAAAAAAAAAACAAGAGUAAUGCCUCUUUAAAUGUUCUCUAGGACACAGAGCAUAGAGCAACAAAGAAAAGGGGAAUCUGAUUUCAUCUAGCCUAUUUGCUGAACUUUGUGUUACUAAUUCAAUCUGAAUAAUUGAAUUAAUAUGUUUUCAUACUAUGAGUUUGUGAGCAUCUGGAGUCUAUUUGACAAAUUUAUUUAUAGAUAUUGAGAAAUCAACAUAACUGGUGUUCCUUUUAUCAGGAAAUUGAGUCCUGAUGAUGCCACAGCCAUUCGUGACCAGGAGUCCAAGAGAGCAAAAUUGGCCACGUUUUCUUGGUGGGAGGGAUGGUGUUAUUCUCUCUUGUCAAUCACAGCGAAGCUAGCCAAUCACGGGCAUCUGUGAGGUCAUGUAUGUGGAAGAGGGCAGAUUGCGCUUUCCUGUGAAUGUAAUCAGCUGCCCUGUGUCACAGCAGGAACAGCAGUUCAAAAAGAUGUAGUGGCUGGCUUCACGUGUCUCAGAGGAAGUUUUUACCCUCUCCGGCUGGUGGCUGUCAUGUGAUAGGGAAGGACUAGCUAGGGAAGGAUACUGGCAAAUGACCAAAUUGAGUGGAAAAGACUGGAAAAAAAUCUGUAUCCAUACCAGACGUUACCAAAAGUUUUACGUUGGUCAUUUCUUAGUACAAAGCAUAUCUUGCCCCAUGUAAUGUUUACGCCAGGAACCAGUUCAGGAAAUUCUAAGCACGCAAUCUGAUUUCAUGAGAAAUUCAUUUGAAUAUAAAGCGAUCGUAUUUCAUUACAUAUUUUGUAAGUCUCCCUGGUUGUUCUGCCAGUAGACUAAUAGUAAAUGUAAAUGUAAAUCUGUGGAGAAUUGAAGAACGUAUGAAAGCUGACGCUGCUCCUAACUUUAACCUUGACCUUGUACAGUAUCUUUUCAUACUGCUGGAGAUGUGGGAAUAGUUACAAAUUUGCACACAUGACACCACGAUGGACCAUCAUGUAAAGUAAAAUCUACAUAGACAAGAGAUGACUGUAAGCACAGUGGCGGAAUAAAAUAAAAAUCUUUUAUUAAUCUUAGGGCUUCUUGGCAAGCCAGUGCACUCUGCCCACCACAGCUCAGACACAAAUGGCUGUUUUAUUGCAUUACCAGCGCUAACUUUAUUCCAGCUGUGUUUUUGUGGAUCUAAUGUGAUGAUAUUUUUUAUGGUGUGUCAUCGUUGCUAUACCCAAAGAAUAACGAAUGCAUUUGACAUGAUGCAUGUAAACACUAGACUAUAUGAUAAAUGAUCUAUUUUCUGGUAAAUUUCUGGUAAGUGGUGCUACCACACCCUUGCAUAUAACAAACGCAUCUUCUAGUGGUCAUGUGUGUGUUUGUGUGUGUCUGAACUUGAUGCUUGUGUUUAGAGGCUUCCUAAGAACAUGAUCAAUCAGAGUGAUGUAAACAUUCAACAUUUUGCUAGGAUACGGGUUAAAACCACACACAGGAAAUAGGUUCUCCACUUCAAUCAAAUAUUGAAAUGCGGACUUGAAUAGAGAUAUCACUCAAGCCCAAAUGUUUAGACACUCAUGUGUUUCCUAUUGAGCAACUUUAGAAUGACUCAUGGGGUGGUUUUCUUCAUGGUUUGCACUCAGAUCACUACUCAAGGGUGGACAAAUGAUAAAUAAAUUCCUACGCUACCACACCAACCAAGUGAAAACUCCAGUGUGCUUCAUGUGUUUUGGUAACCUUUGGUGUUGCCUGGAAACCUAAAUGACUAGGCUAUAAAGUGGUAGCUAACAUAAUAAAUUACCGUAUGGUGAGCUGGUUAGCUAGCUAAAAGCAUUAAUACAGGCUUAGGGAAUAGGCUUGGAACGAUUGAUGAUAGAACAAGGAAUGGUUGAGAGAUUGCAUGUAUCGAGAUGGCUAUCGGUCAGAUGAUUUAAAUGGCUGUCGGAAAACAUGGUGUCUGUAGCUUUAAGAUCGACAAAAAUGAGGUGUGUUGUGUCUCGUAAUACACACUUUUAUGUUUCCAAAAAAACUGACUGAACGCUAAUGAUUACAGCUACAACCGACCUGUAAACAGCUUCAAUUUUUUUUUCGAUAUAAUAAUGUAACUUGCACGUGACAUGCGUUACUUAUGUCUGGCCACGCCCCCUUUUUACUUCCCCUCAAAGCCAAGCAGAUAUUAUCGGUCAAUGGGCGAUAGUUAGGGAGCACGAUAGGACGAUGACAUGUUACAGACAAUCUCACAAACCUAUCAGGGGAAUAAACGAGUAUAUUAUCAUGAUGGUCUUCUUACAAAAUGCGUAAUGUGAAAUGUAGUGAUCUGUCCUCGCAUCACACAUAGAAGAUUAUAUUCGAUUCUGGCAAGCAUCUUUAUUUCUCUCAGUAUGUUUAACUGGGAGGUGACUGCAUGUUGUGUUAGCAUCACACUAACAUAACUUCACGUCACAUUUAAGCAUAGCUACAUAUCAAAUCAAAACAUUUGUUUUGCGAAAGUUGUUAAGGAGUAGGAGUUUUUCUUGUCCAUCAGGCCACUACGAAUAAUAAAAUAAUAAUCCAGACACGCUGUGUCCUGAGCACCCCUCCUACUGAAAAUUUAGGAACUUUAAUACAGUCGGUCAGCCUGUAUCCACACAUGGUGGUGUUACAUGUUCAUUAUUAAACAUUAUUAGUCUCUGAGCAUUUCUUUCUGAGCUAGACGUGUUCACAUCCUGAAGAACAAUGAGAUUAACUGGUCGUCUGCAACGAGCAAAGUGUUGCUGAUGUAAUGGGUGUCUGCUGCGUGAGGAUUUACUGUGUGUGUGUGUGUGUGUGUGAAAACAAACAGCAGUAAAGACAGCCACACUGGCUGUGAGGACCUUCAGAACUAGCUUAGCAUAGUAACGGCCGAUAAUCUGCUACCACAUUAAAGUGCCUCACCUGCAAAUAACCUGUCUGGUUCAGGAGCGUUCAGGCAUCACACUGCUUCGGACGUCAGCUGACUCGCUGUAAGCUGCUCGGAGUUUUGAUGAGUCAACAGUGGCAAAGCUACUGAUGCAAAUAUACAGCAAACCCAAGAUCACACAUCCUCGAGAAGAAAAAAAGGACUCUGGCAGUACCAUUUUGCAGGCAAAACCAGUUUUAUUGACAUUUCUGUGGUUCUUACGUAUGUUAAACAUAUCUAAGUGGAGACCUUUUUCUGUGGGAGUUGAUAUUUACAUUUGUUUGUACAGUGGUCAUAUUCAAAUAUAUGCAUGUUUGUGUAGGUGUGAUGACUGCGGUAUAGGAGUGUGUCGUGAUGCUGUACGAUUAUUAUGACGCAGCUUGUUCAGUUGUUUUGAAAUCGGCUUUUCCUGUCCUGGCAGCCUAGAUCACAUGCCAAGUUUAGUAACAUGUGUUUAAUCGCACCAGAAGUGCAAGCACUCAUAUCAGUAACAGGCUAUACAUUAAUUAUAAUCGCCUAACAGUGUAGACUACGUGCUCAUUAUAGAAAGAUAUGUCUGUUCAUGUGUCUGUGAUCCAAACAGGUCUCAGCUGUAAAACUACGUGCAUGUGCGUGGUCACGCAUCUGCUGUUCUCAAUGUGAGUGCGUGUGUUUACAUUCGACGGUGGUGAGCAAUGACGCAGGAGAAAAAGCCACGCAGAAGCAGAGGUUGCUGCCAUUACUGUGGUGCAGAGACCGAGAGAGGGAGGGAGGGCUAAAAUGGGAGAACGGGAAGCUAACCAAGAGGUCGUAUACUAUAAAAAAAAUGAGACAGAGCAAAACUGAAGCGCAGAUGAGGAAAGAUAAGGAUGGUCAGGCAGUGGAAAGACAUGGGAGGGGUUUCAGAGUGAGACAGAACAGACACAAGCAUAUACUCGGCAGUGUGCGCCACAGUUAAACUGCGCAAUAAAUCAAAAUCCUGCUUUUAAACUCCGUCAAUGAUAAUCAGGAAUUCUCUGCUCACAUAACCAACCUAGAAACCCAGAUUUUACCCCACUCAACAGCACUAACCAUCCAAACAGCAUCACUGAGGCAUCAUGACUUGGCAAAAAUAUCAUGUUAUGAUACCUGAAGAUGUUUUUAUGAUAUCAUCCUAUCACAUUUAGACUUACUAAGUGUUUAACAAGCAACAAGAGAUUAAUUACAGAUAGUUAAAAAUAGUUAAUAGUUAAUGAUACUCCGAUCGUGUAUACUAAGGACUCAGGUACACAAAAAGAAAUAUUUUAAUGAAAACAUAAUUAUAAUGAAUGCUGGUUUUAUAUAAGAUUUUGUUAUCAUGCAUGUAUACUUUGUGCCUGUGAUGCUGACUAGGUUUAACUCCUACUUACAAAGUAAGAUGAAGUGAAAUGCUCUGUUGAAAGCACAUUAGCAUUUUGCUAAUCAUUGAUGUGCUAAUCGAGAUUAGCAGCAAACCUUACGAUUUUUUUAAAGAAUCAUAGCUAGCUUUAACUCUUCAGUACUAUAAAGAAAAAAGAUUGUUCUAUUUAUACAUGCAGUUCAGUAACAUACUAAAAAUGAUAAGAUUCUCACUAAGAGCAAUGUUACACGCUAACAACAACACUUGCGUGACAUUAGACUUUGCGUUUAAUGUACUUUCUUAAUACCGACACACUGAUGAUCUUCAGACUAACCUUUCCAAACACACGUACACAUAAAACUUCACACUAACUUACCACAAGCACAUCCGGCUUUCUAAAGCUCCAACAGCUUAUAAAAAAGAUAGUAGCAUAACAGGCCGACAUCGGAUUAGCUACUUUUUACUGAACAUUUCACAACCCAACCCAAGUUGUUUUAGAAAUCUGUUUUUAUUUAGCAAGUUAGAUCUCUAACUAUCAUCAAUUAAUAUGGACAAAAAUGGCCUUCUUUAAAAGGAAGAGGUCUUUGAGCUAACUUUGCAAGCAUUCAACCACAGACCUCUGCAGCAUGGAGGAUAUUGCAUUAACUCUAGAUUAACUGCUUCCAACUAUAUCAUUUGAAGAUUUUCUGAACUCUCUUUCUAUACUAUUGAUUAUAUUUUAAAGUUCAUUGUGUCACAGUGUUCAAAAUGUUGUUUUCCUGUGAGAAACUGGUUCACGGAAGGAGUGCCUGAGGGUUUUUUUUAUGCAGCAUAAAGCUAAUUAGGGUUAUAGGUGUAGUGACGAUACUCUGAGAAAAGUGUACUGAUAGAUGCAAUUUAUCGCAAUAUUAUUACCCACACUCACCCCAACCCUUUCAAAAACGUCAUCAUAUCUAUAGUUUACUUAGCUGAUUUGAAGCAGCAACCCCUAUACUUUCCCCUGACUUGGUUGAAGGCUAGCAGUGUGGGCUAGGCAAUAUUUGCACUCUACUUUGCACUGAAGCUUUGGUUCCCAAGCACUCAGUGGGAGAGGAAUGUGGCCAGGCAAGCAGAGCUGGCACAGUCCUGGACCCCGUGCUCCACUUGAUGUGAAAUCACAUCUCUUUCAAAAUGCCCCUGACAAAGAACAACUCUCUACGGGCGCUUCACUCUACCUAUUCAGACCACAUCUAUCAAGACCCGGGCUGUGAUUGCAUGUGUGCGUGUGAGAGUAAGCGCGAGAAAAGGAAGGGCAGGUUAGAAAGACAAACCACAGCUUUGAAAGUGGCUGCAGUAAAAGAGGGAUAUGUUUUCACAGAGUAAUGACACAAGCUUGACUUGGCAGAUACCGUCAAAAAUGCUUUGAUUGCAAGCAACCAGAUAGGACAAGAUGUUCCUAUUGCACAACCUGUUGCUGCCCCUCAGCAGGGAUGGACAUCCAAACCCAGCACUACAGAGAUAGGACAGAACACAGGUCAGUUGAGGCCUGCCAGACUAGAGCAGCGUUACUGAACUUGUGUACUUUCUAAUGGUCUUUGUGGAAUACUAGAGAAGCUGUUCGAGUCUCAUCUGUGUCUGGGGUCCAAUAGAGACUAACUGGCCUGCCAAUUGUUGGGUGGGAAUAUCUGGGUGGAAAGGAUGGUCUCUUGUCCCUGUCAGUCAGAGGGACAUAAGAUAGUCAUGGGUGCCUGUUAUCUCAUGUGUAACUUAGUACUCUCCUCAAAGUGUGUUCGGCUGUCCUAUGAUGUUGCAUGAGUGGUUUCAUGUCUGGAAAAGAAAGCAAGUAUUAGCUUUUGUGCAAAAAGUGGCAACUAGCUAGUAGGUGUGAAUUAUUCACUCAUGCAUUCUUCUUCAGUAAUGGCUUUAUCCCUGGUCAGGGUUGUGGUGGAUCCAGAUCCUAUCCCUGGAACACCAGGAGUGAGGUAGGAAUACACCCUGGAUGGGCUGCCAGUUUAUUGCAGGGUAUAAUGCGCACACACAUUCAUACUCAUUCACGCAUAAGAGCAAUGUAGCACAGUCAGUCCACCUAUUAGCAUGUUUUUGAGAGGAUCCUUGAACUGUGAGGUGGCCGCUUUGCCACCCUGGGUGGGAAUUAGUAGCAACUAAAUUUAUAAAAAUGUUUAAAAAUUCCUCUUAAAAGCUCCUACUUCAUAGUCACCAAUGGUAAACAAACUGCAGUCUGGUUCAUGUUGAAAUUUGUAAAAGUUCCUCUAUCCAUUAUUAUGGAGAGCCAAGUGCCAAAGACGCUCUGGUGUCUCGCAGUUUGGCCAGCAUUAACUAAACAUUUCUCGUAAUAUGAAAUAAUCAUUGGCCCUUCCAUCAGAACAUCUUGUGUUGUUCUGAAUUAACGGUAAUGGGUCAUUUUCAGACUUUGGCAGAGCUUUACUUUGGAAAUGAGGACACAGUAUUAACAAAUUCCAACGUGUUGGACUGUUGAUGAGUCCUCAGCGGUACAAAAAGAAGCCGAGCGGCGGGGUCGCUUGUUUUCUUGGAGAACAAGGCCUUGUGGGGCAAGUGGAAAUCAGGUCAAUUCCACUGGGCCAUCUCACUCACAGUAAAAGCGAGCCUCAUCCCGUAUUUAAAACCACACCAUCCCUCUCUGUCUCUGUAAAGAGUCUGAUGGAUCUGAAUGCUGCGUAAAAGGAAAGCACACAAACAGAUCAAUGGGACCCAUUUGCAAUGCGAACAGCAUGUAGUCCGUCACUUCGCUGAGCCUGAUUUGCAACCUCAUUUCUGUUCUCUGGGCUUAUCACGUCUCAGGCUCAGCCAUAUCUGUCUUUUAAUUCUGGAGCAGCCGUGAAACAGCUGAGUCAUGGCCCUAGUAAACAUCUGGUGAUGCAGUAGUGCUUUAUAGAGUCACGGCCAGGGCAGUUCAAACAAAUGAUACCCCAUAAAGUACCCUAAUAUGGCCAAAGAGCCUGGUAUGGAAGACUGCUCUUUAUUUUAAGAUCGUGUUUAUAUAAUAAGUACAAAAUCACACACCUUCACUUUGUGUGCUGCUCCUUGAAUAAUAAAUCAUGUUUAUGUCCAGUGUCUAAUCUGAACAACUAUAAAAGAUUAUUAGACAGCUACAGGCUGAGCCUCGGUGCCAGCUUUCAUCAUGGGGCAAAUAAAUGUCAAACUGACAAGGGCGUGCCAUACAGUAAGGUGCUACACUAUAAUUAUAGGGCAGCUUUAGACAGGCUUGUAGUGAAGUGUGAAUCGAUAGGCUAGACUUUUGUUUUAUGAAUGUGCCAGUUGUGUUGGAAUUGCUCUAGUUGUUACUAGGUCUGGGUGAUAUUGUGAUUUAUUCCACUUAAUUCUCUAUUCUGAUCGGUCAGAAGGUGUUGUGUCAGCUGAAUGUAACAGGUUUAUAUUAAGGUGCUUGUUCUAACAGGCCAUUGUUUCUAUAGUAACUACUACAACAGGGACUUGUGUUUCAGACUCUCUACAUAAACUGAUUUGCAGAUGUGUCUAACUGUUAAUAAGGUGAAGUUUUUUGUGAAGAGAUUUACAUUUCACAUUUCUGGAAGGAGUCUCCAGUGUCAGCGUUUUGUAACAGUCAGAGGUAAUGCUGUAACAUCAAGUUUUCUGACAUGAGAAAGGGAAGGACGAGUUUGUACUUUGUGGUUUCUCAUAACAUGACAGGCUGUGUUUAUGUCUUAUUAACCUCAAGAGAGUAUGAAAAGAGAGGUUGAAGUGGUAAAUCAUAAUCACUGGCAAAUUGUUGUGCUAUAAAAGAAAUAAAUCACUUCAGAAUGUGCUGUUAUGGGAAGAUAAUCAACUUAAUAGAUUAAUUUCCUACAGCAGCAUGUCCCUUCAUGUUUUAGUAUUUACAUAAUACUGAUAAUGUGAUAUAUUUCAUUAGAAUAGACAUUUCUGGGGGUAUUGCACACAUUGUCAAUACUUUUAUAACACUGACCAUUACAUUGUUACUCAGAGAAACUAUUAAUUGAUACUAAAUAUUUCUGGGGUAAAUAGUUUAUUUUGUGGAAGAUAAAUAUAAAUGAAGGCAUAAUUUCAGACAGAUUUGAACAUAAUUCAGUCUGCAGUUCUGUGACUAUAUUCAAGGAGUUUCAUUAUUUUUAUUUGUAUUUAUUUACUUAUUAAUUAAUUAAUUAAUUAAUUAAUUAAAGUUAGUUGUCAGUACUCACCCGCUCGCUAGUUCUAUGUGAAAAGCGGUGAAGGCUAACACGAAUGAUACUUAGGUCAAAUUUAUUAACACAAAACAAACACAAUUUCUCAUUUAAAACAGACUUUUUUAGUACUUCCAUUAAUUAACAAAAAAAAACUUGGCUGCCCUACUGUACUAUGUCACUCUACUGGUAAUAUAUAGUGUAUUGUGAAAUGAUCAAAUGUUGUUACACUGUAUAUCUUGCUUUGUCACCCAUCCCUAGAUCUACAGCAGUUCAGUGACAUUUGAGUAAAGAGAGGAGGUCAUGCUGCUUAGUUCUCUUUCUCUGUUCUCACUAUUUGCCAGACCCUGGGUUACUGUGUAGCAUGUUUUCACUGAGGCUUCUCUUUUCUCCAGUCUCUCUCUCUCUCUCUCUCUCUCUCUCUAUUUGUGUCUCUGUUCCUGAUCGUCCUACAUUUUAUAAAAAUGGACCUGGCAUGCCCACCAUAUUUAGCCACACUGCUGCUGAUUCUCUCUCAUGAACAGGGAUAUUUCUGCCUUACAGUAGAGUAAGGGAAGGAAAGGAAAGGCCAUAGCACAGCACAUAGCGUAAAUCUAAUAGCAACAGGAAAAGAAAGACAUGCCAAUUUUGUUAGUAUAAAAAUACGGGUUAUUUAAUGGGCUUUAUCGUCAUGUAAGUAAAGCAUUGAGAUUUUGACCUCAAAUAUAAAGGGAAUAUAAAUAUUAUUAUUAUUAUUAUUAUUAUUAUGAGCAUAGAUGUAGAAGAUAAUGCUGUUAACAGGCAGAUGAACACAUAUAAUGUUCAUUGUUCAUUGUUAAAAGCGCUAUACAAAAAAAUAAUAAAAUUGAAUUGAAUAUAACACAAAAAAGAACAUUAGUACUCCAGCAUUUUUUAAAAAAACUGAAUCUCUAUUUGUUGCAUCUCUGGUGUAUAUGAUUAUCGUGAAUAAUAAUUUCAUCAUACUUUCCUGUGCUGAAAAAAACAAACAAACAAACAAACAAAAAAACAAAACAAUUCACUUAAAAGUCACUUAUAGUGCAAGCAAGGGCAGUUAUUGUAUUCUGUGAAAAAACAUUUAAAAACUGUGACUAAAUUACGCAAAAUCAAAACUUAAAUUAUACUUAUAUAGACUUAUACUUAAAUAAUAUAGCUCUAAGUUAAUUAAUGAUAAUAAUGUUAGGCUAUUUGGUAUUGCAGGAGGAUAAUGAGAUGUUUCGAAGUUACAUAUUUAUGUUUAUUCAUAGAUCCUGCAAAUUUAGAUUUUUAAUGGCUUAAAAUUACGUUAUGGACUACUUUAUGAAAUAAAAAAGUUUAAACUCCCGUAUCAUUUUUAUCCAGAAAUGUUUUUUUUUUAUUGGCGUAGCAAUUAAUCUUUAUGUUUUUAUUAUCAUGGUGCGUCCCAUCGCACUGUUAUACAGCCAUAUCCCUAAUCUCAACAUUCCAACUCAACAUUUCUUCCCCAUCAUGAGCUCAUCGGCAUCACGCCGCUGUUACAUCAGCCUGAAACCACGCUGACGCAACCUGUCAGUGAUCUGGCAGUCUGGUCAUCAUGACCAUGCACUAUUCUCUCCAGUUCUCUCGCUCCAGACUGGAGUGGACAACCAAUGCCUGCCUCCACCUAGUGGCUGUCUGCAGUUUUACACACACACACACACACACACACACACACACACACAUACACACACACACACAUUGCUAAUCUUUGCUCUAGACAUGUAGGCAGCUGCCUGGCACACACUGUAAGAGCGAGUCGAUAAUGCAGUUGUAGGCAAACAAAUCCACGCACAUACACACGCACACACACACACACACACACACACUCUUAACACAUAAGUCGUAUGUACACACAGAUGGCUGAACAAACACCUUUGCAUUCACAAAGUUAUGUACAAACAGCGUAAUGAUUUAUAUUUAUUAUUUAUUGUUUUUUUCCUCACAGUGAAAUGCAAAUGUACACACAGGACAGAAGUCCAGUGGCUUUCAGUGUAUGUCAUGUCUCUGUUCCUUCCUUGUUAAGUUUCAGUUCUCUCACUCUGUUUUUUUUAUAAGUGUUACUGUUAGUAUUGAGAAAACUGUGAAUGUAUUAGGACAUAUAAUAUUGCAGUAUUCAAUGGCAUGAUGUAUGUUGAUAUUGAGGUUGUGCUUAGAAAGCAUCACCAUUACACAAUAUUAUGAAAAGAAAAUUCAGUUCAGAAGUUCACAUAUCUAAUUUUCAACAUUUAAACGAAAAAUGUAUUGGACAAGGAUAAUAAUUUGUACAAAAAUAGAAUUUAACAUCCAGUCAGUUAUUUGUUACAAUUAGUAACAGUGGAGUUAGAAAUGUACUGUUACUUUAUGGUGUUCAAGAUACUCAUGAUAAACUGUUCUGAGGAUACUCAUGAUAAAGUCUUCUAAUAGUAUUGUUCUAGUAUUGUAAUUGGAGCUGCAACAAUUAGUCGCCAAACCUGACAGCGUCAGUAAUGAAAAAUCAUGGAGGUAGAUUUUGAUAGUCUUUAUAGUUUGCUUAACCAAGAAGAAAAAAAAAAACAGUGUUGCAAUGCAAUAGUAUGUAUUCCUCUGUAAAAAAAAAAAAAAAAAAAAAAGUAAUGUAAUACAAUAAUGAAGCUGUUGAGGGCAGUGUUGCUUCUGUUUCUCUCUGCGAUACUGAUGUGUGCCGCUUGUUUAAGAAAUGAAGUGGGAUGUGAAAACUGGAAUUUGCUGAUAACGGUUAAUUUUUCUUCAUAUAAAGUUCAUCUUGGUGAACUUUAAUCCUGCGAAUUUGCAAACGUCAGAAGAAUGAGCUGAUAGAAAACAAAAGUGUGGAUUGUGCAUCCUUUUUUCGGUAGAGAAAAAAAAAAAACAGAAAUAUAGCCGCAAACUGCGGGGUCCAAGCACCAUUCGCAAAAACUGUGCCCGUAAAAGGCCAGUUCUUGCCAUGAAACACUAAAGAAACCAUAGAUGAACAUUCUAUUCAGCUUUCAUGAUGGGUUGAUCAAUACUAACAUUGUGAAAAGCUCAUUGUCCUCAAUGACUGAAGACUGUUAGAUUAUACUUGUUAUUUCGAAGUUAUUUGUGACUGCCUUCGAGCACUCUAGAAGCCUUUUUUCAAACACACAUACAUACAUACACUUCCCUUUGGUCACUCUCUCUCUUAUUUUCACUCCACACAGAGGGAGGUAAUAGCCUAUAGCUAUAUAUAGAAUAAUAAGGAAUAGCAACUUGCAUGACUGUAGAGAACAAUAGGAUAUGUGUACUCUCUGUAAGACAGCAGGAAGUGAUAAAUUGUCUACAGAGGAAGUUGGAACAACAGACAUGACCCUACACAUAUGCACACACAAUAAACAUUUACAUCGACUUCCAUUUACUGUAACUGACCAAUAGGUAGCAUAUGGAAGUACUCAUCAACAUUAUGUGCUUUUGAGUUUUUUCUCAGUGAACUUCUCUCUCACUCUAUGUUUUUUCCACUUUCAUGGUGGUUUCCUUCUUCUCUUAGUGCUACUGCAUCAUAUAUAAAUAUAUACAUAUAGUACACAGGUUAAAUGUCAUCAAACCCUACUUUAAAGGUCACACAAGUGUAAUGGAAGUAGGUUAUUUUGUAUUAGCUCUCAGUUUUGAUGGGCAGUGUAUUUGGCCUCACAGUCAUGACAUGGCAGCAGUGGAUUGGAUGAAGCAUCUAGGUCAUUUCACACGAAUUCACAAAAAGUCCUUGGCCAUCUCUUCUGGGAAAGAGUGCAUGAGUCAUUUUAUAUUAAACUUCCUUCAUUAUAUUUCCCCCUCCUGCACAAAGACUUCUGAUCUAAGGUAAACAGUGAACAGAAUGAGACAGACAGAGAGAGAGAGAGAGAGAGAGAGAGAGCAAUAGACAAAAAGAGGUGCAAGUUUAACUACCUAUUACACUGGUAUAGUGAAGAAAGCAGGCACUUGAUGUAUAAAAGAGGAAUCACUCUUCAUGUGUCUCCCUGUUUAGGAGACACAUUUGUUCGGGUUCUGUGCCAGUGACCGGAAGGUUGUGAAUUUGGUCCUUGAGCAAAUCCCAAUAAAGAUUGGAUUCAGCAUCACUCAGCCUAAUUGGUGGACAGGAAGCAGGUGCUCUGUUGGAUCUGACAGAAAAGGAUUCUGCGGCGGGACGGCUGACCCGCUGAGCUUCAGGAGCACAACGAGAAGUCGAUCUGCGUUUGGACGGAGGAUUGGAACGUGGCCCUGAAUGGAGCGAUUGGGUCCUGCCGAGGUCAUACGAGAUACAGAUCACCCUUCCCUCCCCUCUGUUUAACACCUGACUGCCACCACACAGACACAAACUCUUGGUUGUGUGGGCAUGAAGCAUGAAGUGAGGUUCUGUCAGGGCAAUCAGAGGGGAACACACACUAACCCGGGCAAACGGCGGCCUUCCAGGAACCACGUCAUCCCAGGACUCGCUCAGAGGGAGUGAAAACGGAAAGUGUUUACCCAUCCUUGCUGGAAACCUGGAUGGCCGUGUGGAAAGAGGCACAGAGAGGUUAUAUAAAUGCCAGCUGAACCAUCCAAACAGGCUGAAAAGGAGGAAGCAGGAAGCAGCUGAUGUCAUCACUGGUAGUGAUUUUUGAGCAUGUGUCUAUGAAUGUCUUUUUUUUUGUUUGUUUUUGUGUCAUUUCCUGGGAGAGAAUGGAAGAGGAAGUGGAGUGACUGGUUGAAGGGAAUCAUACUUCCAUGGUGGGCUUUUCAUACAUGCAUACUCACACACAUACUCUAUUGAAGCAUAGGAUGUGCGUGUGUGCGUGUGUGUUUGUGUGUUUUCGCACCCCUUGCCUCCUCUGAUUUCUCACUGAAACACUGCCCUCUUGUGUUUGCACACAGAACUGCAUGCUGCCUUGCAGUAGUCAGGUUUUUUACAAAAAAGGUGGCAUCAAAUAAUUAUUUAUAGAUUAAUGUAGCAUUAUAAUUAGCAUUAUAAUUUGAUUGUAUUGGCUUCAGUUGCUGUAGAGUUUAUAAUACAGAAAUUGUAUGCUUAAAAUACCUCCAACGUUGCAAUUAUGGUAUAAAUCAACAGUCGCUCUAUAUGAUUCAUUAAGAGUGCUUUGAGGUCAGGGUUGGGGUGAAACCAAGGGUGACAAAGCUUAUUGAAGUGCCACACCUGUGGUCACAAACCCUCAACAGCUUUAUUCAUGUGUCUGUUAGACAGUUUAAACCCGAGGAGGGGGGUGGGGGGACUUAUGGUUUGGUCGAGCCUUAAAAAAAAAAAAAAAACACCUCAUUACAAUAUCUGAUUUAUCUACUAAUUGUCACAUUCUGGCUUUUAUUAACACCCAGAUGCAGUUAUUAAUUUAUUUACCAGAAGUGUUUUCCUGAUAUUAUUUGGCAUUGUUUUGCAAUCUCAGUAGAGCACACAAUCAAAAAUGAAAUCAUAAAUACUGUAUCGUGUUCAUCCCAGGACUCAUACUGAACAUGCAUUCAAUGCACUUGGUACUGUUUGUCUUUACUUUACUACACCUGUAUACUGUAAUGAUUUAUAAUCGCAUUAUCUGAUGUCACCCAGAAGAGAAGAGGUUCCUUUCUGAGUCUACUUCCUCUCAAGGUUUUUUCCUCGUGUUGUCUCAGGGAGUUUUUCUUGCCACUGUUCCCUCUGGUUUGCUGAUUAAGGAUCUAAAUCUACACCCCAAUUUUGGCAAAGCUGCUUGAUGACAAUGUCUAUUUCUUUGCUUUUUUUUUUUUUUUUUUUUAACAUUUUAAUCAGCUUUGACUGAAUGCUUCAGUGUUGCCAGGGUUGCAGGUUUUACACCAAAUUGGGCUGGUUUUGGAACAACUCUGCAGGUGGAAAAAAGCAAGUCUGCUGGAGGCGUUUUUGGUGAAAGCUAUAUUUCAAUGACCGGCGGGGGAAGACGGUGAUGGAGCGUAUAACGAGUAUGCAAUGAUAAAUAGGCGUAUUGCAGAUACCGCAAAUCAGAAACGCGUGCACGCUACAGUGACCUAAUUUCCCACACAAAGACUGAGAAAAAGAAGAAAAAUGUGUCUCCCUUUUCCAAUGCCUGGGCUUGUUUCAGGUCUUUUUGUGAGGUUCUUGAGAUGAAGUUGGACUGUAAAUUUUGCAGAUAACAGGUAACCCUUGCUUGAAAAAUCUACACUGACCAGCUACCAGCUGCCAAAGCAGAAGCCAGGCUGGUCAACCUGAUGCAUCAUCUUUCGCUCAUUUGUCAAAUUGUUUCUUAUUACGUUCAGGUAAAAUGGAAGGCUAGUGAGCCCACCAGCCGCUGAUCAAAGUUCAGGUGAGUACAUGGACCUGGUUGUCACUUUAAAGUGUUUAGAGAGCCUGUGAAUCCGUGACUCAUAUUUUCUGACUCCUAGCAGUCGCCCUCUAAAAGGUCCUGACGUCAUCCUCCCACGACUGUAACUCAUGCAGUGAUUUUUUUUAGAGCCUAUUUACACACAGAUAAACAGAGCGCACAGUGCAGGGAGCCUGCUCUUCACCUCGCAUCACAGGCCAUGCAAAGUUGUUCUGUCAUCGUGACAGAAACCAGUCUGGUGGAUGGUCAUUGUGCUGGCCUCAUUUGUUUUAACAGGGGCAGCCACUUCCUUUCAGACCGAACCACCUGCUCUCACAGCGUUUUCUCCUUUUCCUGUUGUGGUCUUUUUCAGCCUGGGCACUUCCACCCAGCAUGCAGGAGUGACUGAGGACAAAUCUUCUCCCGGAUGCUGGUUUCACAUGGUGGUUUAGAUGUGUUCUACCCAGUGUCUAGCACCAUUUGAAAUCAGUGUUCCUGAAAAAGAAUGGCAGCUGUGGAGCAGCGAAGGAACCACAUGGGCUACACGAGGGAACCUGCACAGAGAUUUUUUUAUACUACUAAUCACAUGAGCGCUAGACUCUUUAGAACAGUAACCUUACAUUCACACUAGUGUGCAACAAAGCGACAUGUAGCCGUUAAGUUUCUAUGUACAUGCGUGACACGGAGCCGCGAUUUCAGCGACAGCAAAUUAGCUGUGAUGUGGUAAAAUGACAAACCCAAACGUUUCGUUUGACUGAUUCCUCGGACCCUUCCUGUGGCACUUGCGGGCCAAAGUUUCUUCAGUUCCCCACUGGCGGCUUUAGUUCCUGCAAUUAGUUCCCAUUUACUGUUUGACACACAAAAAUGGAAGAAAACUUAUAACCAUGGUUUCAUCUUGUCCUGUCAUACAUGACCUCUAAUUAAAUGCAUAUAGAGACAUUAGGAAGAAAAAUAAAGCUUGGAAUGAAGUGUAUAUAGCUAGUACGAAACCUAGCAUGCAACAUGUAAACAAGUAACAAACAACCAAUUUCACACUGAUUAGUACAUUAUUAAAUUGUGUUGAACUCUUUAACUUUAGAGGUAUUUAUGUUUUGAAUGUUAGUGUUUCUCAUCGGAACACUGGACAGUGCAUGCCCACAGGUGACAACAGCAACAGCUGCUUUACACCCACAGGAGACAAACUACAAGCAACACGAAAGAUCUGAUGCAUGCUAAUGUGAACGUAAGGUCAGGGAUAGAGAAUAUAGAGAGUGAAAAUACUACAUUGUCUUUUUCAUUACAGAUCUGUCCAAUUAUUCAUCCAUUACCGUUUGAUAAAUGACUAACAGUGUUGCUUCUAUGCUCCUCUGUCUUUGUUGGGUUUCCUGAACAGCGAUGUGUGGGCUUGUGAUGGAAGAGUUCCCUCCCUUGUUCUCUCUCACCCUGCCCUCUCUUGUCUACACUCACCCCACCAAACGAUGACUGAUUUCCUCUGGUGCUUAGAGUGCUCCAUCUUCUAGCACCAUUUGAAAUCGGUUAUAAUGCCUGGGGACAAGUUCUUCAGUUUCCCAUUUGAUGAAGCAGCAGUGUUUGUGUUCCUGCGAGUAGGUUAAUCUGAGUGCAUGUUCAGGUAUAAACCUGUCUAAACCACCUGUCCACCCACGCUCAAGUUGUGUGUGAAUGAAAACAUCAGUUUCAUUGUGUUAUAAAUGACUGAACUGGGUUAUAGUAUGUACAGUAUCCUAGUAACUUUAAUUUGUUUCAGGGUUUCAUCUGUGACUUGCGUAAUGGAAAAAUAUUGUGUGCAAAUUGCUGUCAUAUAAGAGAUAUAAAACACUUCGGAGUAUUUUGUUUUUCUUAUCUGACAGCAGUUCGCCGAAGCUAUGAAUGUUUUAUUCAUUAAAGCAAGACAUGCCAUA